AUGAACCUUUGAAGGUUGAGCUGGCGAUCUCAUAAGUCGCAAGUGCUUGCCUUCUUAUCCUUUUAUAACACCUGUGCACUUUUUGAAGGGGGGAGCUAGUAACUUAGCUGAUACAAGUCCCCCCCUUUCUAACUCACAUACACUUUAUUUAUUAUCGAAUGUAACAAACGCUUAACAGCAUUUAUAAUA
RNAcentral lists this unclassified non-coding RNA (189 nucleotides) under uncultured fungus. RNAcentral's name for it is "sequence contains ITS1, 5.8S rRNA gene". Lineage: Eukaryota; Fungi. The record is from RNAcentral.